This 279-nucleotide ribosomal RNA is filed under the name uncultured bacterium. RNAcentral describes it as "partial 16S ribosomal RNA". It matches the Rfam family "Bacterial small subunit ribosomal RNA", at positions 506 to 784 of the family's 1533-position model. The record is from RNAcentral.
UGCCAGCAGCCGCGGUAAUACGGAGGGGGUUAGUGUUGUUCGGAAUCAUUGGGCGUAAAGGGCGCGUAGGCGGAUAUGCAAGCUUGGUGUGAAAUCCCGCAGCUCAACUGCGGAUCCGCGCUGAGAACUGUGUAUCUAGAGUUCAAGAGGGGAAGCUGGAAUUCCUGGUGUAGGGGUGAAAUCUGUAGAGAUCAGGAAGAACAUCAGUGGCGAAGGCGAGCUUCUGGCUAUGAACUGACGCUGAGGCGCGAAAGCGUGGGGAGCGAACAGGAUUAGAUA